RNAcentral lists this ribosomal RNA (526 nucleotides) under Fusarium cf. solani 20746. Its description in RNAcentral is "eukaryotic LSU rRNA". The stretch from base 167 to 320 matches the Rfam family "5.8S ribosomal RNA". Lineage: Eukaryota; Fungi; Ascomycota; Sordariomycetes; Hypocreales; Nectriaceae. The record is from RNAcentral.
GCGGAGGGAUCAUUACCGAGUUAUACAACUCAUCAACCCUGUGAACAUACCUAUAACGUUGCCUCGGCGGGAACAGACGGCCCCGUAACACGGGCCGCCCCCGCCAGAGGACCCCCUAACUCUGUUUCUAUAAUGUUUCUUCUGAGUAAACAAGCAAAUAAAUUAAAACUUUCAACAACGGAUCUCUUGGCUCUGGCAUCGAUGAAGAACGCAGCGAAAUGCGAUAAGUAAUGUGAAUUGCAGAAUUCAGUGAAUCAUCGAAUCUUUGAACGCACAUUGCGCCCGCCAGUAUUCUGGCGGGCAUGCCUGUUCGAGCGUCAUUACAACCCUCAGGCCCCCGGGCCUGGCGUUGGGGAUCGGCGGAAGCCCCCUGCGGGCACAACGCCGUCCCCCAAAUACAGUGGCGGUCCCGCCGCAGCUUCCAUUGCGUAGUAGCUAACACCUCGCAACUGGAGAGCGGCGCGGCCACGCCGUAAAACACCCAACCUCUGAAUGUUGACCUCGGAUCAGGUAGGAAUACCCGCUG